CAAGGAUUUAUUCGAAUAAGUCUUUGGUGGAGGGGGCUGAUGGAACAAAGAAAAGGGUUCCCCCGCUCGCUCGCUCGCCACGAGGCCACGGCGCUCCCUCGCUCGCUCGAGACCAGACGGCGACCAACGACGCGGCGGCACGUCCAGGGCUUGUUUUGGACCUGGCGUGGGUGGAGAGGGCGAAACAGAGAGAGAGAGAGAGGGAGAGAGAGAGUUGGGGUGUUUAAACAAGGGAGGGCACGGACUAGGUCUAGUUAGCUACGCGGCGAGGACAGGGUCGGAGGAGGGGGCGGCCACCGGUACGCACAUAGAGGGGUCGGAGGAAGGGGUGGGUGCCAGCACGCAGGGAGGGAUUUCGGAGGAAGGGGCGAUCGGCGCCGUGCGGCGGGGUCAUAGGAAGGGGUAAGCCGCCGGAGCUCGUGGAGGGGGAGCCGGGAGGCUGCUGGAGCGCGGGCAGGGGUAGGAGGAAGGAAGGCACACCGUGGCGGGGUGGGGGACAGCCGGUAGGUGGUCCGAGGAUAAAGUGCGCACCACCGGCGCGGUUAGAGGGGUCAAGUCGAGGGGGACCGGCGAACCGCGGAGGGGUACCGGCGUACGGGUGGCUCUGGUCUCCUAAACGGCAAGACGUUUUUGCCGUCAAUUGAGCCCAGCAACACACAUCGAUGUACGCUCCUCGUCGGGGAUCGUUGCGCACCACGGCUCGUGCUCGUGGAACCUGGAGGGGACGUGGAAGUGGGCCCCACCGUUCGUACUUCCGUCGGCCACGAUGAAACUGAGAUGCCAGUUCCCACAUGCGUACUCGAACACAAACUACAAAGUCGGCAACAUAGAAGAGUUUUGACCACCACGCACGCGACGAGUAUCACCACUAAUCCUCUGACCCCGUUCCUCGUUUCUGUACGUCUCUGUUGUCAAUUGAAGUCAAUUCAAAAAAUGUAAGCACUUCUAAUGUUUCUACCCUUUUUUCUUGUCAAUUGAAGUUAUUGAAUGAAAAUAAUUUCAAGACAUCAAAAAUUGCGCCAAGUCCAUUGAAGGGUAAAAAACUAACCAAGUCAAUUGAACAAAUCGAAAAUAGCGGUGGUGAUUUAGAUGAUGCUUGCGCUGAACGAACACCACCAGAACCAACUCUUAUUUGUUCACACGUCUCCCACUCUCCCUUUAUUGUUCCAACAUCCUCGAGUACGAUGUACACAAGCUUCGAUGUACCUCUUCACCAAGAAGAGACGGGACCAAAGGAUGGGGCAGAGGACCACACGUGAUACGAGGUAGCUGCCGUCGCGGGCGAGGUACGGCGGGGGCUGACGUCAAUUGAAGCUCGCGUGACACGACGGGCAGGGUUCUAGGGCGAAGUUACUCUGAUGUACCCUCUACCCUCUCCCGGCCACCACGGACGUUUAAGCGACGUGUCAUUAUAUGAUCCACACCUACGUCAAUCGAGCAGGGAGCACAUCAUUCUCGUUUUGUAUCACGCAAAGACGUCAAUAGACAUGAGUUUGAAUUAUUAAUUGAAAAACUCUACACUGUCAAGAAAACGUGAAUAAAUACUUUUUUUAUGUGUAUUUAAUAAAGUCAAUUGAUACGUUAAACAUCGUCAAUAGACUUCGACUACUCUUGGGAACAAGCUACCACUAGCUAGUGGAGGGAGUUCUAACUCACUCCAAUUCGAUCAAUCGGGCUGAGCUAAUUUAACCAAGCUAGGUCGGAUUGUCGAUCACGCAAGUACAACCAAGAUCAUGCAUG
Molecule: ribosomal RNA, 1740 nt
Filed under: Triticum aestivum (bread wheat)
Lineage: Eukaryota; Viridiplantae; Streptophyta; Magnoliopsida; Poales; Poaceae
Description: partial small subunit ribosomal RNA
Source: RNAcentral